UGCUGAGGCUCAAGUUAAAAGUGGAGCAGCACGUGGAGCUGUACCAGAAAUACAGCAACAAUUCCUGGCGAUACCUCAGCAACCGGCUGCUGGCACCCAGCGACUCGCCAGAGUGGUUAUCUUUUGAUGUCACCGGAGUUGUGCGGCAGUGGUUGAGCCGCGGAGGGGAAAUUGAGGGCUUUCGCCUUAGCGCCCACUGCUCCUGUGACAGCAGGGAUAACACACUGCAAGUGGACAUCAACGGUGAGGCCUGCUUCCCUGGCCAUGCCCAACUGUGACGUGUGUGCGUGUGCGCGUUCCCAUCUGCCCCACGCCCCACUUAUCUAUCCCUCUGAGAGUGUGUGUGUAUGUCCCCUAUCCCCUGACUCCCACACCAAAGCAGGGUUCACUAC
Molecule: small RNA, 392 nt
Filed under: Pan troglodytes (chimpanzee)
Lineage: Eukaryota; Metazoa; Chordata; Mammalia; Primates; Hominidae
Description: retained intron
Source: RNAcentral